Molecule: long non-coding RNA, 595 nt
Filed under: Salmo salar (Atlantic salmon)
Lineage: Eukaryota; Metazoa; Chordata; Actinopteri; Salmoniformes; Salmonidae
Description: lncRNA (ENSSSAG00000096813.1)
Source: RNAcentral
UGACAUGUCAUCACUUCAUUUUUUUGCGCCUGCGCAUAAAUCUGAGAAACGUGAGUUUUGUCUUCAUUGUUUAUCUAGACAUAGGAUAGGUUGUGUGAAAAUAUUACUGAUGUUUAACGUUAAAAAUGGACCAAAAGAUUAAUGCUAAACAACAUUUGACAUGUUUGAACGAACAUAAAUAGAUUAUUUACUAGGUUUUUUUAGCUUUUCGGCGUGAUUUUACAGUCCCCCCACCACGUUUUGUGGGAGCAUAAUGAACGCUAAGUACUUGGUGUUAUUUGGACAUAAAUUAUGAACUUUGUCAAAAGAAACCACAUUUGUUCCGGACCUGGGAUGCCUUCCGGACCUGGGAUGCCUGCCUUCUGAUGGAGAUAAUCAAAGCCACCAGUGGAGGACAAGCCCUGGGACCACACCACAGUACUGAGUGAUUACACCAACCAGCCACCAGUGGAGGACAAGCCCUGGGCUAGUUAUACAGGCAGCAGCUGAAGUAGGAUUAACCCAGUCUGGAGUGGAGGCAACAGCCAGCCAGCCCUGUCUGAGGUGGGAGAGGGGAGAGCAGCAGGGGAACAGCCAGCCAGCCCUGUCUGAGGUG